RNAcentral lists this long non-coding RNA (372 nucleotides) under Heterocephalus glaber (naked mole-rat). RNAcentral describes it as "lncRNA (ENSHGLG00000038053.1)". The record is from RNAcentral. Lineage: Eukaryota; Metazoa; Chordata; Mammalia; Rodentia; Bathyergidae.
CGACAAAGUAAGCAGAGCCUUCAGCAUGUCAUGAGGCUCCUGAAACACACUGGAGUUUCAGAUCUUUAAAGAAAAAGGUUUUGGUAAACACUUUAGGCUUCUACGCAGGACUCUGAAGAGCUACAGUACAGGAAAAAAUUUUUCGGGUAAUUCCAUGUCUAACGUCAAUGAUAAUGGAGCGACAUACUAGAAGGCAAAAAAUAACUGGAAAUCUUUGCACAAGGGGCAACAUCACGAAGAGAGGCCAAACAUCUAAGGAAGCAGCAGCAGUGCAAGAGUCCUCCUUCUAACUUCUCAUUUAAAUAGUUGAGAAAAAGAUGCCUAUCUGCAGAAUAAAAUAAGAAAAAAAAAUCAAUCAAAUUAGUUAUUGUU